RNAcentral lists this ribosomal RNA (2797 nucleotides) under Klebsiella pneumoniae. Its description in RNAcentral is "bacterial LSU rRNA". It matches the Rfam family "Bacterial large subunit ribosomal RNA". The record is from RNAcentral. Lineage: Bacteria; Pseudomonadati; Pseudomonadota; Gammaproteobacteria; Enterobacterales; Enterobacteriaceae.
CGGCGAUGUCCGAAUGGGGAAACCCAGUGCAAUUCGUUGCACUAUCGUUAACUGAAUACAUAGGUUAACGAGGCGAACCGGGGGAACUGAAACAUCUAAGUACCCCGAGGAAAAGAAAUCAACCGAGAUUCCCCCAGUAGCGGCGAGCGAACGGGGAGCAGCCCAGAGUCUGAAUCAGCUUGUGUGUUAGUGGAACGGUCUGGAAAGUCCGACGGUACAGGGUGAUAGUCCCGUACACCAAAAUGCACAGGCUGUGAACUCGAAGAGUAGGGCGGGACACGUGGUAUCCUGUCUGAAUAUGGGGGGACCAUCCUCCAAGGCUAAAUACUCCUGACUGACCGAUAGUGAACCAGUACCGUGAGGGAAAGGCGAAAAGAACCCCGGCGAGGGGAGUGAAAAAGAACCUGAAACCGUGUACGUACAAGCAGUGGGAGCACCUUCGGGUGUGACUGCGUACCUUUUGUAUAAUGGGUCAGCGACUUAUAUUCUGUAGCAAGGUUAACCGUAUAGGGGAGCCGCAGGGAAACCGAGUCUUAACUGGGCGUUAAGUUGCAGGGUAUAGACCCGAAACCCGGUGAUCUAGCCAUGGGCAGGUUGAAGGUUGGGUAACACUAACUGGAGGACCGAACCGACUAAUGUUGAAAAAUUAGCGGAUGACUUGUGGCUGGGGGUGAAAGGCCAAUCAAACCGGGAGAUAGCUGGUUCUCCCCGAAAGCUAUUUAGGUAGCGCCUCGUGAACUCAUCUUCGGGGGUAGAGCACUGUUUCGGCUAGGGGGUCAUCCCGACUUACCAACCCGAUGCAAACUACGAAUACCGAAGAAUGUUAUCACGGGAGACACACGGCGGGUGCUAACGUCCGUCGUGAAGAGGGAAACAACCCAGACCGCCAGCUAAGGUCCCAAAGUCAUGGUUAAGUGGGAAACGAUGUGGGAAGGCACAGACAGCCAGGAUGUUGGCUUAGAAGCAGCCAUCAUUUAAAGAAAGCGUAAUAGCUCACUGGUCGAGUCGGCCUGCGCGGAAGAUGUAACGGGGCUAAACCAUGCACCGAAGCUGCGGCAGCGACACUAUGUGUUGUUGGGUAGGGGAGCGUUCUGUAAGCCUGCGAAGGUGACCUGUGAGGGUUGCUGGAGGUAUCAGAAGUGCGAAUGCUGACAUAAGUAACGAUAAAGCGGGUGAAAAGCCCGCUCGCCGGAAGACCAAGGGUUCCUGUCCAACGUUAAUCGGGGCAGGGUGAGUCGACCCCUAAGGCGAGGCCGAAAGGCGUAGUCGAUGGGAAACAGGUUAAUAUUCCUGUACUUGGUGUUACUGCGAAGGGGGGACGGAGAAGGCUAUGUUAGCCGGGCGACGGUUGUCCCGGUUUAAGCAUGUAGGCUGGUUGUCCAGGCAAAUCCGGAUAAUCAAGGCUGAGGUGUGAUGACGAGGCACUACGGUGCUGAAGUAACAAAUGCCCUGCUUCCAGGAAAAGCCUCUAAGCAUCAGGUAACAUCAAAUCGUACCCCAAACCGACACAGGUGGUCAGGUAGAGAAUACCAAGGCGCUUGAGAGAACUCGGGUGAAGGAACUAGGCAAAAUGGUGCCGUAACUUCGGGAGAAGGCACGCUGGUGUGUAGGUGAAGCCCCUGCGGGUGGAGCUGAGACCAGUCGAAGAUACCAGCUGGCUGCAACUGUUUAUUAAAAACACAGCACUGUGCAAACACGAAAGUGGACGUAUACGGUGUGACGCCUGCCCGGUGCCGGAAGGUUAAUUGAUGGGGUUAUCCGUAAGGAGAAGCUCUUGAUCGAAGCCCCGGUAAACGGCGGCCGUAACUAUAACGGUCCUAAGGUAGCGAAAUUCCUUGUCGGGUAAGUUCCGACCUGCACGAAUGGCGUAAUGAUGGCCAGGCUGUCUCCACCCGAGACUCAGUGAAAUUGAACUCGCUGUGAAGAUGCAGUGUACCCGCGGCAAGACGGAAAGACCCCGUGAACCUUUACUAUAGCUUGACACUGAACAUUGAGCCUUGAUGUGUAGGAUAGGUGGGAGGCUUUGAAGCGUGGACGCCAGUCUGCGUGGAGCCAACCUUGAAAUACCACCCUUUAAUGUUUGAUGUUCUAACGUUGGCCCCUUACCGGGGUUGCGGACAGUGUCUGGUGGGUAGUUUGACUGGGGCGGUCUCCUCCCAAAGCGUAACGGAGGAGCACGAAGGUUAGCUAAUCCUGGUCGGACAUCAGGAGGUUAGUGCAAUGGCAUAAGCUAGCUUGACUGCGAGCGUGACGGCGCGAGCAGGUGCGAAAGCAGGUCAUAGUGAUCCGGUGGUUCUGAAUGGAAGGGCCAUCGCUCAACGGAUAAAAGGUACUCCGGGGAUAACAGGCUGAUACCGCCCAAGAGUUCAUAUCGACGGCGGUGUUUGGCACCUCGAUGUCGGCUCAUCACAUCCUGGGGCUGAAGUAGGUCCCAAGGGUAUGGCUGUUCGCCAUUUAAAGUGGUACGCGAGCUGGGUUUAGAACGUCGUGAGACAGUUCGGUCCCUAUCUGCCGUGGGCGCUGGAGAAUUGAGGGGGGCUGCUCCUAGUACGAGAGGACCGGAGUGGACGCAUCACUGGUGUUCGGGUUGUCAUGCCAAUGGCACUGCCCGGUAGCUAAAUGCGGAAGAGAUAAGUGCUGAAAGCAUCUAAGCACGAAACUUGCCCCGAGAUGAGUUCUCCCUGAGACUUUAAGUCUCCUGAAGGAACGUUGAAGACGACGACGUUGAUAGGCCGGGUGUGUAAGCGCAGCGAUGCGUUGAGCUAACCGGUACUAAUGAACCGUGAGGCUUAACCUU